CGCUCGAACCCACCCAAACCCUCGUCGCCUCCUCUCUCCCCCCGAACCCCUCUAUCUCUCUCGCCGCCGCCACCCACGCCGCCCGGUUCCUGCGAGCUCCGGCCGCGCGCAGCACGCCGGCGAGAUCCCCUUGGUCCGCGUCUGCCUUACCUCCAUGCAGAUCCGCGGCUCCCCAACUGGCUAGGGUUUUGCAUCCCCUUUUGUUCACCGGGAUCCGCCACGGCAGGCCACGGAGAGGCCAUAGGUGACCGGAUCCAGCACUGGUCGCCAUGGGCGUGCCGGCGACGACGGCAGGAGGGGCGCACCUCCGUUGGGCGGGACGCCGCCAUGGAGAUGGAUUCCCUUGUCCCCCACCACGCAGCGGCACCAUGGAGCCUCCCAGCACCCCAAACCCUAGCGGAGAGAGAGGAGCUGCUCCUAGUACAGCACGCCAUGGAAGGUUGCUCUAAUGGCGAAGCUUCUUCUGCAGGAUGCCCUCCACCCCUCCCCUGCAUCCACCUCCUACCACCAUACAUGAUUCGGAGGAGCAGGCAUCCUCCAUGGACGAUGAUGACAACCAGGUCAUCCACCGCCACGACGACGCCCCGCACAUGGUCCAACUCGACUACAACAUCCACCGCGUGACGGCGACGUGGUCGUGUGCGACAUCGACUACAACCUCCUCUCCUGUGAAUCGGUCUCCUACCUCUAGCUCCCGCUCUUGUGCUGCUAUAUUAGUACCUUGCUCUGUUUCAUGCGCAAGGGUGAUUUUGUUUGUGCUUGCCGUGCUUGUGUCAUGGAAAAGAUCAUUCCUAUUUAUUUGUGCUCUGUUUUGUUUAUUAUCACGAGUUGCAAAAUUAGUAGUGGGAAGUAAACUUUUGUUAACUUGUUGGUUGAACCAAUGGAACUACUGUUAUAUUUGAUUUGUUGCUUAA
Molecule: long non-coding RNA, 914 nt
Organism: Aegilops tauschii subsp. strangulata
Lineage: Eukaryota; Viridiplantae; Streptophyta; Magnoliopsida; Poales; Poaceae
Source: RefSeq, a predicted model, not a curated record